UGGGGAAUUUUGGACAAUGGGCGCAAGCCUGAUCCAGCCAUUCCGCGUGAGUGAAGAAGGCCUUCGGGUUGUAAAGCUCUUUCGGCAGGAACGAAACGGGUCUAGCUAAUAUCUAGGCCUACUGACGGUACCUGAAGAAGAAGCACCGGCUAACUACGUGCCAGCAGCCGCGGUAAUACGUAGGGUGCGAGCGUUAAUCGGAAUUACUGGGCGUAAAGCGUGUGCAGGCGGUUUGUUAAGACAGAUGUGAAAUCCCCGGGCUUAACCUGGGAAUGGCGUUUGUUACUGGCAGACUAGAGUGCGUCAGAGGGAGGUGGAAUUCCACGUGUAGCAGUGAAAUGCGUAGAGAUGUGGAGGAACACCGAUGGCGAAGGCAGCCUCCUGGGAUGACACUGACGCUCAUACACGAAAGCGUGGGGAGCAAACAGGAUUAGAUACCCGUGUAGUCC
Molecule: ribosomal RNA, 449 nt
Filed under: uncultured bacterium
Lineage: Bacteria
Description: bacterial SSU rRNA
Rfam family: Bacterial small subunit ribosomal RNA
Source: RNAcentral